GUUCCCCUGAGGUUAGAUCUAAGUUUGCCA
Molecule: non-coding RNA, 30 nt
Filed under: Homo sapiens (human)
Lineage: Eukaryota; Metazoa; Chordata; Mammalia; Primates; Hominidae
Source: RNAcentral